GAAGCAAUUCGUUCUGGCUCAGAAGAGGUGUUUAGGAGUGGUGCCCUCAAGCAGUUGCUGGAGGUGGUUUUGGCAUUUGGAAAUUAUAUGAAUAAAGGUCAAAGAGGGAAUGCAUAUGGAUUCAAGAUAUCUAGCCUAAACAAAAUUGCUGACACAAAAUCCAGCAUCGACAAAAACAUUACCCUUUUGCACUAUCUCAUCACUAUUGUGGAAAAUAAGUACCCCAGUGUUCUCAAUCUAAAUGAAGAAUUGCGAGAUAUUCCUCAAGCUGCGAAAGUAAACAUGACUGAGCUGGACAAAGAAAUAAGUACCUUGAGAAGUGGCUUGAAAGCAGUAGAGACAGAGCUGGAAUAUCAGAAGUCUCAGCCCCCACAGCCCGGAGAUAAGUUUGUGUCUGUUGUCAGCCAGUUCAUCACAGUAGCCAGCUUCAGCUUCUCUGAUGUUGAAGACCUUCUAGCAGAAGCUAAAGACCUGUUUACUAAAGCAGUGAAGCACUUUGGGGAAGAGGCUGGCAAAAUACAACCAGAUGAGUUCUUUGGCAUUUUUGAUCAAUUUCUUCAAGCUGUGUCAGAAGCCAAACAAGAAAACGAAAAUAUGAGAAAGAAAAAGGAGGAAGAAGAACGUCGAGCUCGCAUGGAAGCUCAGCUCAAAGAACAACGUGAAAGGGAACGUAAAAUGAGAAAAGCUAAAGAGAAUAGUGAAGAGAGCGGAGAGUUUGAUGACCUUGUUUCAGCUUUACGCUCAGGAGAAGUGUUUGACAAAGACCUUUCUAAAUUGAAACGGAAUCGCAAACGUAUUACCAACCAGAUGACUGACAGCAGCAGAGAGAGACCAAUCACAAAACUUAAUUUCUAAUUUUCCAUGAAUACUUUUUUUUAGAAAGCUCAUUAGCAGCCCUCUAAAGUGACUAGAACGUUUCAUUACACUGCCUUGCAAUCCAAACAGUGGCAAUUUUUUCCUUCAUCUGUGAGUGAAUGCGUGAAUGUGUGUAUGUAAAUGUAUGUGUGUAUAUAUUAAAAAAUGUAUAUAGAUGUCUGAGUGUUGUCUGGAGACCUAUAUGUAUGGUUAAGAAGAUUUAUGUUAACGUAUGUGCUCCAAAACCUUUCGUGUAUGCAUUCACAUUGAGUGUGGCUCAUUUUCUUUCCCCGAACGCCAUGACUGUUCAGAAGCACAAUACUAUCUCCUGAAAGAGAUGACAGAGACAUUCCCUAGAUUCAAAGGCAAAACAGAAGAAACAAACAAACAAACAAAAAAGCUUGCAAAAUAUUUUAUGGUUUCCAAGCUUGAUAUCCUUUAAAAUUAUUUUCAUUGAUGGAACUGGAGUUGGAAAAACAUAGAUUUAAAAUGGUUUUUGAUAGCUGACAUUGUGAUGUUGAUGUAUCACAUCAGUAAUAGGACCAGCUUCGAAUUUCUGACAUUGGUGUGGGG
RNAcentral lists this small RNA (1428 nucleotides) under Pan troglodytes (chimpanzee). RNAcentral describes it as "retained intron". Lineage: Eukaryota; Metazoa; Chordata; Mammalia; Primates; Hominidae. The record is from RNAcentral.